This 435-nucleotide long non-coding RNA is filed under the name Homo sapiens (human). RNAcentral describes it as "HSALNT0336888". The record is from RNAcentral. Lineage: Eukaryota; Metazoa; Chordata; Mammalia; Primates; Hominidae.
AACAGCAAGUGACAAGACUGAGGCAGGCAGAGUGGCCGAGCGGGGUAGAGGGGCUGGAGACAGCAGUCAUGUGGAUGUUUUGGCACAGGGUCUGAAGGAGCCUGAUUGUUGAAGCAAAACUUCCCGUUUACCUACUGAUUGGAGGGUUUUUGAGCAUCUGGAAGCCAGAACAAAAAUGCUUCUUUCCAUCCUAGACCAUCCAUCCUCCCGCUGACCUUCCAGAUGACUGCAGGUGCAUGAGCACGCCCAGCAGGGAUCAGCUGAGCAAAAUCACCUCGCCGAAUCAUAGGAGGGAAAGCUGCUGAGAAAACAUGGAAACACAGAAAGAGGAAAGUAAAAAGUACCCAGGGAGCCUCUGAGUUUGUGUGUGCACGUGGGUGAGGUCGCCAAAGGGGAGCAAACCUCCUACUUCCUGCAGCUCAGAUUACUUAUCAA